Molecule: ribosomal RNA, 468 nt
Filed under: uncultured bacterium
Lineage: Bacteria
Description: partial 16S ribosomal RNA
Rfam family: Bacterial small subunit ribosomal RNA
Source: RNAcentral
GACGAACGCUGGCGGCGUGCUUAAUACAUGCAAGUCGAACGGAAAGGCCCUGCUUUUGUGGGGUGCUCGAGUGGCGAACGGGUGAGUAACACGUGAGUAACCUGCCCUUGACUUUGGGAUAACUUCAGGAAACUGGGGCUAAUACCGGAUAGGAGCUCCUGCUGCAUGGUGGGGGUUGGAAAGUUUCGGCGGUUGGGGAUGGACUCGCGGCUUACCAGCUUGUUGGUGGGGUAGUGGCUUACCAAGGCUUUGGCGGGUAGCCGGCCUGAGAGGGUGACCGGCCACAUUGGGACUGAGAUACGGCCCAGACUCCUACGGGAGGCAGCAGUGGGGAAUAUUGCACAAUGGGCGGAAGCCUGAUGCAGCAACGCCGCGUGCGGGAUGACGGCCUUCGGGUUGUAAACCGCUUUCGCCUGUGACGAAGCGUGAGUGACGGUAAUGGGUAAAGAAGCACCGGCUAACUACGUG